UGAAUGCCUGUGAUGGUGUUAAAUAUACUUUGAGAGCUUAGUCUCUAGGAAAAAAGAAACAACUCUGAGGCAUUUU
Eutrema salsugineum is the source of this 76-nucleotide small nucleolar RNA. The record is from Rfam. Lineage: Eukaryota; Viridiplantae; Streptophyta; Magnoliopsida; Brassicales; Brassicaceae.